RNAcentral lists this ribosomal RNA (246 nucleotides) under Triticum aestivum (bread wheat). RNAcentral describes it as "partial small subunit ribosomal RNA". Lineage: Eukaryota; Viridiplantae; Streptophyta; Magnoliopsida; Poales; Poaceae. The record is from RNAcentral.
AUGGAGGAGUUCCGGGCGAUGUCGCAGCAGUUCGAGGCAGGAGCUCGUCAGGAAGUGGAGAGGCUCAAGGCCUUUGUGUCUCAACUGCAGGCAGCUCUGCAAGAGAUGCAGAGCAGCGGGUUGCACUCGGACGACGCCGGGAUCGGGGCUGCGGAAGCCAGGAAGGCCGACCUCAUGGCUGAGAAGGCCAAGCUGGACGAGACCCUGGCUGUAGCCCGCCAGUUCAGAGCACUGUUUCGACAGUAG